RNAcentral lists this ribosomal RNA (462 nucleotides) under uncultured beta proteobacterium. RNAcentral's name for it is "bacterial SSU rRNA". It matches the Rfam family "Bacterial small subunit ribosomal RNA", at positions 200 to 642 of the family's 1533-position model. Lineage: Bacteria; Pseudomonadati; Pseudomonadota; Betaproteobacteria. The record is from RNAcentral.
AGGAAAGCAGGGGAUCGUCAAGACCUUGCGUUAAUGGAGCGGCCGAUAUCUGAUUAGCUAGUUGGUGGGGUAAAGGCCCACCAAGGCUUCGAUCAGUAGCUGGUCUGAGAGGACGACCAGCCACACUGGAACUGAGACACGGUCCAGACUCCUACGGGAGGCAGCAGUGGGGAAUUUUGGACAAUGGGCGCAAGCCUGAUCCAGCCAUUCCGCGUGAGUGAAGAAGGCCUUCGGGUUGUAAAGCUCUUUCGCAAGGGAAGAAAACUUACUUUCUAAUAAAGGGUGAGGCUGACGGUACCUUGAUAAGAAGCACCGGCUAACUACGUGCCAGCAGCCGCGGUAAUACGUAGGGUGCGAGCGUUAAUCGGAAUUACUGGGCGUAAAGCGUGCGCAGGCGGUUUUGUAAGUCAGAUGUGAAAGCCCCGGGCUCAACCUGGGAACUGCGUUUGAAACUACAAAGCU